RNAcentral lists this ribosomal RNA (108 nucleotides) under uncultured eukaryote. Its description in RNAcentral is "partial small subunit ribosomal RNA". The record is from RNAcentral.
UCGCUACUACCGAUUGAACAUUUUAGUGAGUUGCGAGGAGUGUAGGUUUUAGGGUUCGCCCUAACUCAAACGCGAGAAGCUGCAAACUUGGAUGUUUAGAGGAAGUAA